This 824-nucleotide long non-coding RNA is filed under the name Salmo salar (Atlantic salmon). Its description in RNAcentral is "lncRNA (ENSSSAG00000105345.1)". The record is from RNAcentral. Lineage: Eukaryota; Metazoa; Chordata; Actinopteri; Salmoniformes; Salmonidae.
UUAGUUCAGUGUUAGUUCAGUGUUAGUUCAGUGUUAGUUCAGUGUUAGUUCAGUGUUAGUUCAGUGUGUUAGUUCAGUGUUAGUUCAGUGUUAGUUCAGUGUUUUAGUUCAGUGUUAGUUCAGUGUUAGUUCAGUGUUAGUUCAGUGUUUCUUCAGUGUGUUAGUUCAGUGUUAGUUCAGUGUGUUAGUUCAGUGUUAGUUCAGUGUGUUAGUUCAGUGUUAGUUCAGUGUUAGUUCAGUGUUAGUUCAGUGUUAGUUCAGUGUGUUAGUUCAGUGUUAGUUCAGUGUUAGUUCAGUGUGUUAGUUCAGUGUUAGUUCAGUGUUAGUUCAGUGUUAGUUCAGUGUGUUAGUUCAGUGUUAGUUCAGUGUUAGUUCAGUGUUAGUUCAGUGUUAGUUCAGUGUUAGUUCAGUGUGUUAGUUCAGUGUUAGUUCAGUGUUAGUUCAGUGUUUCUUCAGUGUUAGUUCAGUGUUGGUUCAGUGUUAGUUCAGUGUUAGUUCAGUGUUUCUUCAGUGUUGGUUCAGUGUUGGUUCAGUGUUAGUUCAGUGUUAGUUCAGUGUUGGUUCAGUGUUGGUUCAGUGUUAGUUCAGUGUUAGUUCAGUGUUAGUUCAGUGUUAGUUCAGUGUUAGUUCAGUGUUAGUUCAGUGUUAGUUCAGUGUGUUAGUUCAGUGUUAGUUCAGUGUGUUAGUUCAGUGUUAGUUCAGUGUUAGUUCAGUGUUUUAGUUCAGUGUUAGUUCAGUGUUAGUUCAGUGUUAGUUCAGUGUUAGUUCAGUGUGUUAGUUCAGUGUUAGUUCAGUGUUAGUUCAGUGUUAGUUCAGUGUUAGUU